Molecule: long non-coding RNA, 3516 nt
Organism: Fukomys damarensis (Damara mole-rat)
Lineage: Eukaryota; Metazoa; Chordata; Mammalia; Rodentia; Bathyergidae
Exons: 5
Source: RefSeq, a predicted model, not a curated record
UGAAUCUAACAGCCUUCUUUAGAAACUGCUAAGUGCACAGCGUCCUGGGAACACAGAAAGACACGGAAACCCGCCCAAGAGCAGGGGCUGGUUUCCUGUCUUCCCUGACCUUGACACUGGGACGAGCUCUGCAGAUCUCCAAGAAACUGAGUGACUUGCAUUUAAGGGACCGUGGAGUAUAAAAGGAGCAACUGUGGUGUCUACCUCACAGGAUUAUUGCAAUAACUGAUACGAGGGAUGUAUGUGAGCUAAAUGAGAAAAUGUACUUCGUUCAGUGCCUGGCAUUGGAUGAGUCCUCGGAAAUGUUAACAAAAAGAAAACGUACGUGCUUCUGAAUUAGAAGAUCUGGAGGGAAUGGUAACAUCCUCACAAAGACAAUCAAAGAAGGAAACGUAUUGCAGAAAGAUUCUUCAUCUCUUCCCCUGCAUGAGGAUCCAGUGAGAAGAUGUUCAUCUAUGAACCAGAAUGAAGACACUGAAUCUGCUAGUACCUAGACCUUGCAUAGCCUCUAGAACUGUGAGCAAUACAUGCAUGCUAUUUAUAAACCCCCCGGUUUACAGCAUUUUGUCUCUUUGAUGGUGAUGGACCAAGUAAGAAGUGGAAGGAUUCACAGGGACAAGCUCACUACUAAAGGGUUGGCAAAGAUGGUGCCAAAGACUUAAGGUGGAAGGAGGGACCAGAAAUGGCUAAUGGGGAGUGGAAACAGGAGUUACCAGGUACAUACAUUUACACACACGCACACACAUUCACACGAGCACACAUGCACACUCACCCACACACAAUGGCUCAGAAACACUAGGAAUGUAGAUAAGUGGUGAUUCACAAUUUUAAAGUAGAAUCAAUUUACAGUACUGCUUUUAAAUUGUGAGAUAUAAACCACGAUAGGAAAGAUGGUCAAAUGUCUCCCUUCUUUCAUCUUAAAGUUGGUUUUUUUUCAACCAUGUGAAACAGAAGUCACUUUCUGUGCAGUGUGAAAGAACUUGCGUGGGGCCCUCUACUUAAAAUUUUGCCAAUUGUUCCCUGCAGGGUGGCCGGUGUGGAGAGAAAUGGAGGGUAAAUCAAGUCUCCAUUUAAUUUACCAUGCUGUCUCCCUAGUAGCCAGGCUCCCCGAAGGUGGCACCUUUGUUUACUUGCAUGAGCCUGGCAGCUGCACGGGGAUUCACACAAGGAAUCUCUUUCACUGGGGUUGGAGGCAAUGUGGAUCUUCAAAAGUGGGUCAACCAGGCCCUAUGUGGAACGCAGUGAUGUGAAUAUCCCCUUAUCUUACGCCACUCCACGCCCACAGUGUUCUUCCCUAGAAAGGUUUUCUGUCUAGUAUCAGAGAAAGAAACAAAAAGCUAUACAUCAAUUUGUUUAUUGCUCUAAAGCAUCUGUUUCUUUGCUAUGUUUUGCAAGGAAGCUUGGCAUCUCAUAUUCAUAAAUGAGUUGCUUUGGGUUUAAUCGUGCAGCUAACUUGAGCUAUAAAGCAGAAUUCGUGGCUGCCUGGAGAGGAUUUUGAGGAGAAGCAAAUGAGCCCACAGGGCUACUUUGCUUAGAAGACAAUCCACAUGCUAAUGACACUCCCUGCAAGUGAUAUGCAGCUAGCUCUCAGUCUUGGGGGUGUGAAGGAGCCUGGUACCCCAUACAAGCUGGGAAACAAGAGUUGAUUUCUGAUGGUCAAGACCAUCAGGAAGAGGCUGACAGAGCCAAUUUAUGUCUGAUGGUUUAUUAAAAUUCUCUGAUUCUCAGAUUUCUGGCAACUAGUGGGUGAUACUAUGAAGACCCACUACAAAGGCGUUCACUUUCUUCCCAGCAGAAGGGCAUCUCUGAUAAAAAUCUAGGACAAAAUGCAAUCUAUAGGGGCACACUGGGAGACCACUCUAGGGAGUGAAAUUUCACAGCAAUAGCCUCAAGGCCAAGCAUUCUACUUGUUAUAAGUUGGAUCAAAAUAUUCCCCUAAGGGCUCAAGUGUUCAGAGGUGAGGUUUGGGGAAGGCUAACCUCAUGGACAGACUAAUCUGCUAAUGAAUCCAUAGCUGAACGUGCUAUUUGGAACUGGGCCCGGUUGGAGGAAGUGGGAAGUGAGGCAUAAUUUCUCACUGGUGUUCCCUUAGUUGCUUGAUUUUUCCGGCCCUUGAGUUUAGCCUCUAUGCCACGGAGACAACAAGAACAACACAUUACAGAGGGGUCAUGAGGAUUACAUGAGAUAUACAACGAGGUGGCAGAAAGCUCUUCAAUGGUCUCUAACACCGAAUACACACCCUGUCGGUAUUAGAUGCCACACUAAACAUCUGUACGGUGACCUUUGGGUCAAGUGGGUCUGACUUCCCUUCCUAACCCUGUGUUUUUUGUUUUCCUUUCAUGAUUUUCCUUCUCCCUUCUUUGCCUAUGGCAGGGAAAUGAUGGACUGCCUGUUCUGGUUUCUAGGAGCAGGUCUGGAAGCCACCCCUCUGAGCUUCCUCUACUAGACCUAAAAGAGGCUCCAGAUCCCUGUAGUGGCUGGCUCAGUCCUCACUUCUCCUAAAGGCAGUUCCCAAAGACACACUUAAGGGGUACCUGUAGAACGCCUCAUUUUGGCCUUGAGUUCCCAAUCUGUUUCUUCACCUAACUUUGCCAAGAAUACAAAAACGAGAUUUUAGCUCCUACCUGAACCUAUUCUUCUAAAUUUUAAAGUUCAGGACCAGGAAAUGAGGAAGGGAUGUGAUUAAUUGCUAACUUCAAAAGACCUCAACCAACAUCUAAUAUUUUAUCCUCAAGCCAAAUGUAAUGAAACUCAAAAAACAAAAAUUCAGUUAAGUGGUUUAUUCCAGCCACUCUGGUGACUUCCAAAGACAUUCACUUCAUUUUGUGUGUAGUGUUGUGAUUCUUUGACCUUCCCAUUCAUCCUACACAGCACAUAUCUGAUUUUUCUUCCAGGUACUAGCUUUUCAAAUAUUUCUACCUUAGGCAACUUUUGUAUUCUCACAAAAUAGCUACUACAAACAUCUGUACCUUAGAUAACUUUUGUGUCCUGACAAAGGAGCUCCUAUUCCUUGUAUCCUUAUUCAUUGUGCUGGUUUUUGUAGUUUUCUUGCCUCUCUGGCCUCUCUCCAAUUUGUAUGACUCUUGAAAAGGGUGUGACACCCUCGGACUGCAUUGCUGGACAGUCGUUCUGGGCAGCAGUUGUCUGACAGCUAGGCUGGCGGGACCCUCCCUGAGCUGCUCUGCUGUUGUGUGACUUUCAGAGGCACAAAUGGUCUGUGUGCUCAGGAAUUGGUAUCUGUUUACAGUUUAUAAUAUUCUGCAAGCACUAUAAAGUGAUCUGAAUUUUCCCCAAAUGGAGCAUAUGGAUAGUAGGAAUAUUACCGCGGACUGGGAAUAUCAAUGCAGCUAAGUUCACCUCCCUUGCUGAUCCCUAAGACUCUCCUUGGAAAUCUCACAUAUGCUACUUUUUAAAAUGUGAAGUUGGAAAUAAAGAUUUUCAUGUGAAAUUUCUCAGUUAUAAAAUGUUGGCAAAUGUUUUUAAAACAACAUCAACAGCUACUAAAAAAAAAAAAAU